Molecule: ribosomal RNA, 572 nt
Filed under: Stenotrophomonas maltophilia
Lineage: Bacteria; Pseudomonadati; Pseudomonadota; Gammaproteobacteria; Lysobacterales; Lysobacteraceae
Description: partial 16S ribosomal RNA
Rfam family: Bacterial small subunit ribosomal RNA
Source: RNAcentral
GGAGGGGGACAGUGGUUAUUCGAGCACGCGAGAACCUUACCUGGUCUUGACAUGCCGGACUUUCCAGAGAUGGAUUGUUGCCUUCUGGAACUCGAACACAGGUGCUGCAUGGUUGUCUUCAGCUCGUGUCGUGAGAUGUUGGGUUAAGUCCCGCAACGAGCGCAACCCUUGUCCUUAGUUGCCAGCAUGUAAUGGGGGGAACUCUAAAGAGAGCCCCCGUGACAAACCAGAAGAGGGUGGGGGUGAUGUCAUCUCAUCAUGGCUCUUACUGCCGGGUCUACACACGUUCUACUAUGGUGGGGACAGAGGGGUGCAAUCCGGCGACGGUGACCCAAUCCCAAAAACCCUAUCUCAGUCCAGAGUGGGCUCUGCAACUCCACUCCGUGAAGUCAGAAUCUCUAGUAAUCGCAUAUCAGCGUUGCGGGGGAUAAAUACUUCCCGGGCCUUUACACCCCCCCCCACACCACCAUGGGAUGUUGCUCCCCCAGAAGCGGGAGGGCUCAACCUUGAGGGAGGCGCCUAACACGGGGUGGAUGACUGCGGGGGAGAAAUCCAAAGGGGACCAAAAAAAA